This 18-nucleotide small nuclear RNA is filed under the name Arabidopsis thaliana (thale cress). Its description in RNAcentral is "snRNA_08890". The record is from RNAcentral. Lineage: Eukaryota; Viridiplantae; Streptophyta; Magnoliopsida; Brassicales; Brassicaceae.
AUCCUUUAGACCUUCGGA